AUACGUAGGUGGCGAGCGUUAUCCGGAUUUACUGGGCGUAAAGCGUACGUAGGCGGUUCGGCAAGUCUGUCGUGAAAUCUCCCGGCUCAACUGGGAGCGGUCGAUGGAAACUGCCGGACUUGAGGGACGUAGAGGUGAGCGGAAUUCCCGGUGUAGUGGUGAAAUGCGUAGAUAUCGGGAGGAACACCAGUGGCGAAAGCGGCUCACUAGGCGUUACCUGACGCUGAGGUACGAAAGCGUGGGGAGCGAACCGGAUUAGAUACCCGGGUAGUCC
RNAcentral lists this ribosomal RNA (274 nucleotides) under uncultured bacterium. RNAcentral's name for it is "partial 16S ribosomal RNA". It matches the Rfam family "Bacterial small subunit ribosomal RNA", at positions 523 to 796 of the family's 1533-position model. The record is from RNAcentral.